This 382-nucleotide unclassified non-coding RNA is filed under the name fungal sp. RNAcentral describes it as "partial internal transcribed spacer region". The stretch from base 1 to 46 matches the Rfam family "Eukaryotic small subunit ribosomal RNA", at positions 1786 to 1831 of the family's 1831-position model. The record is from RNAcentral. Lineage: Eukaryota; Fungi.
AAGUCGUAACAAGGUUUCCGUAGGUGAACCUGCGGAAGGAUCAUUAACACGUAUCCAAACGGUAAAACCCCCCCCGUGAACCUUCAUCCUGCUCUUGUAACCCGCGUAGUUCGCAAUCUCUGAUAAAUCAUAGCCCGGAAAGUUGUAGUGAUUCAGAGACCUCUGGCUACGUGCGAACAUUGGAACAGUUACAAUCGCGCGGUAGUUCAUUGAUUGUGCAAGGAUAGCGCUUCUACGAUUCCUGUAGACCGUACACUCGGGCAGGAGCUUUGCCAAAGGGUCCCCAUGCCCCCUAAUAACCCCACAGUUUAAUGUGAAGCUCAAUGUAAUACAUGGGGUAAAAAAACCGAACAACUGUUAACAAUGGAUAUCUUGGUUCUCU